GAUGUGUAGGAUAGGUGGGAGGCUUUGAAGUGUGGACGCCAGUCUGCAUGGAGCCGACCUUGAAAUACCACCCUUUAAUGUUUGAUGUUCUAACGUGGACCCGUAAUCCGGGUUGCGGACAGUGUCUGGUGGGUAGUUUGACUGGGGCGGUCUCCUCCUAAAGAGUAACGGAGGAGCACGAAGGUUGGCUAAUCCUGGUCGGACAUCAGGAGGUUAGUGCAAUGGCAUAAGCCAGCUUGACUGCGAGCGUGACGGCGCGAGCAGGUGCGAAAGCAGGUCAUAGUGAUCCGGUGGUUCUGAAUGGAAGGGCCAUCGCUCAACGGAUAAAAGGUACUCCGGGGAUAACAGGCUGAUACCGCCCAAGAGUUCAUAUCGACGGCGGUGUUUGGCACCUCGAUGUCGGCUCAUCACAUCCUGGGGCUGAAGUAGGUCCCAAGGGUAUGGCUGUUCGCCAUUUAAAGUGGUACGCGAGCUGGGUUUAGAACGUCGUGAGACAGUUCGGUCCCUAUCUGCCGUGGGCGCUGGAGAACUGAGGGGGGCUGCUCCUAGUACGAGAGGACCGGAGUGGACGCAUCACUGGUGUUCGGGUUGUCAUGCCAAUGGCACUGCCCGGUAGCUAAAUGCGGAAGAGAUAAGUGCUGAAAGCAUCUAAGCACGAAACUUGCCCCGA
This 670-nucleotide ribosomal RNA is filed under the name Salmonella enterica. RNAcentral describes it as "bacterial LSU rRNA". It matches the Rfam family "Bacterial large subunit ribosomal RNA", at positions 2133 to 2802 of the family's 2925-position model. Lineage: Bacteria; Pseudomonadati; Pseudomonadota; Gammaproteobacteria; Enterobacterales; Enterobacteriaceae. The record is from RNAcentral. RNAcentral also lists the same sequence under 3 other names.